GCCCCCGGGGUCUGCCCCCGGGUUUGCAGAGUAGCUGGAGCAGUGGCCUCUCCUAAUGCUUUGAAGGGUCAGAGGACAAAGAAGGCAAUGGAUGCGAAGGACCUGGAACAAGGGCCUGGAAUACCACUCACAGUGUCACUAUUGAGAGCCAUCCACCACCUUAUUUCUAGAGAUAUUAGGCCAUUAUUUCAACCAAGUGUGUGUUGGACUUUAACCUGAGAAUAUGGCACAAGCUUUGAAGUUGGACUUUUUUUUUAAAACUGUACGCUGACCCUGGUUCAACCAUCUGAAAAUCAACUGGAAUUUAUAUAUAUAUUUAGGUAGCCACAUAGAUAGACCUAUCCAUGUUUACAAAGACUGCUGCAGAGCAUCUUACCUGGGGGACAGACACACAGAACCAGUGUGUGAAGCCUGGCCUUGGAACCAGCAGCCUUGGGCAUCUGACCCUGACCAGUCCCAUCCAUCCAAGUCCCUCUUUCUCCUUGGGAAAAUAGCGAAAACAG
Molecule: long non-coding RNA, 503 nt
Organism: Bos taurus (domestic cattle)
Lineage: Eukaryota; Metazoa; Chordata; Mammalia; Artiodactyla; Bovidae
Source: Ensembl